CACAAUAUGUAAUAUUAGUUUCGU
Molecule: non-coding RNA, 24 nt
Filed under: Arabidopsis thaliana (thale cress)
Lineage: Eukaryota; Viridiplantae; Streptophyta; Magnoliopsida; Brassicales; Brassicaceae
Source: RNAcentral